This 1304-nucleotide ribosomal RNA is filed under the name uncultured bacterium. Its description in RNAcentral is "partial 16S ribosomal RNA". It matches the Rfam family "Bacterial small subunit ribosomal RNA", at positions 94 to 1399 of the family's 1533-position model. The record is from RNAcentral.
AGUGGCAAACGGGUGAGUAACACGUGGGUUACCUGCCUUCAAGAUGGGGAUAACAGUUGGAAACGAUUGCUAAUACCGAAUGUGAUCUACGGAUUAAAGAAGCCUUUAAAGCUUCGCUUGAAGAUGGGCCUGCGGUGCAUUAGCUAGUUGGUGAGGUAACGGCCCACCAAGGCGACGAUGCAUAGCCGAACUGAGAGGUUAAUCGGCCACAUUGGGACUGAGACACGGCCCAAACUCCUACGGGAGACAGCAGUUAGGAAUAUUCGUCAAUGGGGGGAACCCUGAACGAGCAAUGCCGCGUGAGUGAUGACGGUCCUCUGGAUUGUAAAACUCUGUUGUUUGGAAAGAACUGUAAGAAGAGGAAAUGCUUCUUACUUGACGGUACCAUUCAAGAAAGCCACGGCUAACUACGUGCCAGCAGCCGCGGUAAUACGUAGGUGGCGAGCGUUAUCCGGAUUUAUUGGGCGUAAAGCGUCCGCAGCCGGUUUAUUAAGUCUAGAAUAAAAGCCUGGAGCUUAACUCCAGUUCGUUCUAGAAACUGAUAUACUUGAGUGUAGUAGAAGGCAAAUGGAAUUUCUAGUGUAGCGGUAAAAUGCGUAGAUAUUAGAAGGAACACCAGUGGCGAAGGCGAUUUGCUAGGCUAUUACUGACGGUCAGGGACGAAAGCGUGGGGAGCAAAUAGGAUUAGAUACCCUGGUAGUCCACGCCGUAAACGAUGAUUACUAGGUGUCGGGAGACAAAGUCUUCCGGUGCCGCCGCUAACGCAGUAAGUAAUCCACCUGGGGAGUACGUUCGCAAGAAUGAAACUCAAAGGAAUUGACGGGGACCCGCACAAGCGGUGGAGCAUGUGGUUUAAUUCGAAGCAACGCGAAGAACCUUACCAAGUCUUGACAUCCUCCUGAAUAUCCUUUAACAGGGAUAGGCCUUCGGGACAGGAGAGACAGGUGGUGCAUGGUUGUCGUCAGCUCGUGUCGUGAGAUGUUGGGUUAAGUCCCGCAACGAGCGCAACCCUUAUCCUCAGUAGCCAGCAGUAAGAUGGGAACUCUGGGGAGACUGCCGGGGAUAACCCGGAGGAAGGUGGGGAUGACGUCAAAUCAUCAUGCCCCUUAUGACUUGGGCUACACACGUGCUACAAUGGCAUAAACAGAGGGAAGCGAGCCCGUGAGGGGGAGCCAAUCCCAAAAAUAACGUCCCAGUUCGGAUUGUAGUCUGCAACUCGACUACAUGAAGCUGGAAUCGCUAGUAAUCGCGAAUCAGAAUGUCGCGGUGAAUACGUUCCCGGGUCUUGCACACACCGCCCGUCA